Molecule: RNA transcript, 869 nt
Organism: Elephantulus edwardii (Cape elephant shrew)
Lineage: Eukaryota; Metazoa; Chordata; Mammalia; Macroscelidea; Macroscelididae
Gene name: ornithine decarboxylase antizyme 1-like
Exons: 2
Source: RefSeq, a predicted model, not a curated record
GCAGCAGAGGUUUUGCUGGUUUCAGACCCCAGCGGCCAGAUGGUGAAAUCCUCCCUGCAGCGGAUCCUCAACAGCCAGUUUGGCCAGAGAGAAAGAAGGGGAUAAACCCAGGGCCACAGUCCUCACCAGCCACACCAUGCCACUCCUCAGCUUGCACAGCCGCGGUGGCCACGGCAGCGAGAGUUCCAGGGUCUCUUCCAAUUGCUGUAGUAACUUGGGUCCAGAGCCUCGGUGGUGCACCUGAUGCCCCUCGCCUGCCCCUGAAGAUCCCAGGUGGGCGAGGGAAUAUCAGAGGGAUCACAAUCUUUCAGCUAAUUUAUUUUACUCUGAUAAUCGGCUGAACUAGUGUCUAACGACAAAACGAAAGACGAGAAUUCUUAAUGUCCAGUCCAGGCUCACAGAUGCCAAACACAUCACCUGGAGGGCUGUGCUCAGCAGGAGCAGCCUCUACGUUGAGCUCCCAGGUGGUGCCCUGCCGGAAGGGAGCAAAAACAGUCUGGCAGUUCUCUUUGAGUGUGCUGAGGAGCAGCUCCGCAUGGACGUCUUCAAAUGCUUCCAUAGAAACCAAGAUGACAGAGCCGCCUUGGUCCGGGACCUUCAGCUUUCUAGGCUUUGAGACUGUGAGACCAGGGCAUCCCCUUGUCCCCAAGAAACCCGAUGCCUGCUUCAUGGUCUACACGCUUGAGAGAUUCCUCCGGGAAGGACUAGUGGUCCCAGCCGCCAUCACAGGAAGCCUGGUCACCCUAGGUGUCCCUCCUUCCUGGGUGUGUCCGCAUGUUGUAAUUGUGCAAGUAAAUGCUCACUCCAAAUUAGCAGUAUAUUUCUUGAAGUUUAAUAUUGUGUUUGUGAUACUGAAGUAUUUACUUUAA